RNAcentral lists this ribosomal RNA (465 nucleotides) under uncultured bacterium. RNAcentral describes it as "bacterial SSU rRNA". It matches the Rfam family "Bacterial small subunit ribosomal RNA", at positions 338 to 795 of the family's 1533-position model. The record is from RNAcentral.
CCUACGGGACGCACCAGUGGGGAAUAUUGCACAAUGGGCGCAAGCCUGAUGCAGCCAUGCCGCGUGUAUGAAGAAGGCCUUCGGGUUGUAAAGUACUUUCAGCGGGAAGGAAGGCGAUAAGGUUAAUAACCUUGUCGAUUGACGUUACCCGCAGAAGAAACACCGGCUAACUCCGUGCCAGCAGCCGCGGUAAUACGGAGGGUGCAAGCGUUAAUCGGAAUUACUGGGCGUAAAGCGCACGCAGGCGGUCUGUCAAGUCGGAUGUGAAAUCCCCGGGCUCAACCUGGGAACUGCAUUCGAAACUGGCAGGCUGGAGUCUUGUAGAGGGGGGUAGAAUUCCAGGUGUAGCGGUGAAAUGCGUAGAGAUCUGAAGGAAUACCGGUGGCGAAGGCGGCCCCCUGGACAGAUACUGACACUCAGAUGCGAAAGCGUGGGGAGCAAACAGGAUUAGAUACCCGCGUAGUC